CCUACGGGUGGCAGCAGUAGGGAAUCUUCCACAAUGGGCGAAAGCCUGAUGGAGCAACGCCGCGUGGGUGAAGAAGGUCUUCGGAUCGUAAAACCCUGUUGUUAGAGAAGAAAGUGCGUGAGAGUAACUGUUCCCGUUUCGACGGUAUCUACCCAGAAAGCCACGGCUAACUACGUGCCAGCAGCCGCGGUAAUACGUUGGUGGCAAGCGUUAUCCGGAUUUAUUGGGCGUAAAGGGAACGCGGGCGGUCUUUUAAGUCUGAGGUUAAAGACUUCGGCUUAACCGGAGUAGUGCAUUGGAAACUGGGAGACUGGAGUGCAGAAGAGGAGAGUGGAAAUCCAGGUGUAGCGGUGAAAUGCGUAGAUAUAUGGAAGAACACCAGUGGCGAAAGCGGCUCUCUGGGCUGUAACUGACGCUGAGGUUCGAAAGCGUGGGUAGCAAACAGGAUUAGAUACCCUGGUAGUC
RNAcentral lists this ribosomal RNA (465 nucleotides) under uncultured bacterium. RNAcentral's name for it is "partial 16S ribosomal RNA". It matches the Rfam family "Bacterial small subunit ribosomal RNA", at positions 338 to 795 of the family's 1533-position model. The record is from RNAcentral.